ACUGAGGCUUGUUUCCUAAACUCACUCGACCAGAGUAUCUGCUGCUGAGCGUCGGUAGCGUGAUCGACGCAGCACAGAGGAACGUUUUUACUCCGCGUCAUGUUUUCUUCUGUUUUUAAGGCAAAAACUCUGCAGCUUUUAUUUUUGUGUCUCUUUCCUCUGACUGUGACUGCAGUAACAACAGGACAUGAAAACGAUGUCGCAGGUCAUGCUCAGCACACUUCAGUUUAACAGCCUUCUCUGCAGAGGAAGGAGAGUGACAUUAUCUUCCAGUGUUACUGUUUGUUAUCGUGAUGACAGCAGGAGGAGUUCAGGCACGUCGGCUCGUCACAGCAAGCUCAAACACAGCAGCUGGUCUCUGAGUGGACUCUUCAUCCUUUUCUGUGAACCAUGACUUCAGACUCAGAUAUGCUCAUUUUCAUUACCAUCACUCAACACGUCCCAAACCACCUCAGGGUGAGCUGAAGGUUAAUGCCUGAUGAUGUAAUAAAGAACCACAGAGAGGUCACUAAACCAGAAACUACCUUUAAAAUUCUGUCCGUAAAACUUAUGUUUAAUAUGAGAAACGAAGGGCAGUACUGGUGGAGUCUACCUCUCACUGGGAGCACGUCUGACUUACUGAUGAUACUGACCUGGCUCUCAGUGUGACUGUACAGGGAUGGAAUAGGCUGGAAUAACAGGAAGAUAUCCUGUAACCCAAAUAGCUCCUUUUAAAUUGAACCACCUUCCUCCAGUCUGCCGGUCCGGCACCCUCCCCGGCUUCCAUGCACUGUUGCAGAGGCGUGUCAACCAAGACACCCCCACAGCAUGCAGAGCCUGCAUCUGAGGAUGAAGCUCAUCCACCCCCAGAGUCCUGCAACCUGACUGACCUCACCCCUGAGUGAUGGAUGAGUGUGAAUGCUGAAACAUCACCCUCCUUGUGCUGUAGCUUCAUGCUGUGUUCACAGGUGCAGCUCCGAAGCCGUUUGUUGGGAUCCUGAACAUCACGGAGUACAGGGUGCAGCUGAGGUGUGAGGUCAGAGGUGCGUCUCCGAAGCCUAGAGUAGAGUGGAGGGACAGCCAUGGAAACAUCCUUCGUGCUGAGGAGCCACAGGUGUCACACAGAGACGGCCGCUAUGACAUCACCCUCCUCACCACGGUGACCAGGACAAACACCAACCUCUUCCACUGCGUGGCCACACAGGAGGAGAUCGGCCAUGUGACUGAAGAAGAGAUCCACGUUCCAGAUCAGCUGUUCGAGUCCUGCGAUGGAGUCGGUGUGAUCGUUUCUGUAUUUGCUUCUGGAUUCUCUGUCGCUGUGUUUGCGUCUCUGUUGCUGUUCUCUGCUUGUAUUAAAUGUUGUUGAUAACAGACAGCAGAUACUUUCAUCUGCCUUUUUUAUUCUCUGCUCUUCUGUUUCCUCUGGUUUUAAGGCUGAUAUGUUAUUUAUACCAACAUUGUAUUAAUGAAAAAUAAAGUUGGGUAAAUGAUGGCGCAGUGGAUAAUGUGGAUAUGGAUGUGGAUAAGGUUUUAAAACAUGCUAAACUGCUUUAAAAGUGUUUAAACAUCACAGUUCACAUUGAAACACAUUCAUGUUUUUAUACCGACUGCAUUAAAAAUUAGUCUCUGCUCAUUGUUGUGUUGAAUCCUGAUAUCAGAGCUGUAUUUAUAAUGGCCAGAUGCAGGGUGGUGGACUGAUCCCCGGUGGCUAAAACUGGUUUUUGGUAUAUGAAUAUCACCUCUCUGAUUGGGAGGGAGCCUAACAGAUACAGGCUCGCCUCAAGGCUUGGGUUCAGGAACUCUCUGGAGCAGCGGUCUCCAACCUUUUUGCGCCACGGACCGGUUUAUGCCCGACAAUAUUUUCACGGACCGGCCUUUAAGGUGUCGCGGAUAAAUACAACAAAAUAA
This is an RNA transcript of Haplochromis burtoni (Burton's mouthbrooder), 1887 nucleotides long. It is a transcript of the gene named butyrophilin subfamily 2 member A1, with no coding region annotated. The record is from RefSeq and is a predicted model, not a curated record. Lineage: Eukaryota; Metazoa; Chordata; Actinopteri; Cichliformes; Cichlidae. The transcript has 3 exons.